Molecule: ribosomal RNA, 319 nt
Filed under: uncultured eukaryote
Lineage: Eukaryota
Description: partial 18S ribosomal RNA
Rfam family: Eukaryotic small subunit ribosomal RNA
Source: RNAcentral
CCCCUAGAUGUUCUGGCCGCACGCGCGCUACACUGAACAGUUCAACAAGUCUUAACCUUGGCCGAUAGGUCUGGGUAAUCUUUGAACGCUGUUCGUGAUUGGGAUAGACCUUUGCAAUUAUGGGUCUUCAACGAGGAAUUCCUAGUAAACGCAAGUCAUCAGCUUGCAUUGAUUACGUCCCUGCCCUUUGUACACACCGCCCGUCGCACCUACCGAUUGAAUGGUCCGGUGAAAUCUCGGGACGGCGGCUUGGUCGCUUGCGUCCGACUGCUGAAACUUGAUUAAACCAUAUCAUUUAGAGGAAGGUGAAGUCGUAACA